GACGAACGCUGGCGGCGUGCCUAACACAUGCAAGUCGAGCGGAGAUGAUGUGAGGAAGUUUUCGGAUGGAAUCACAUUAUUUUAGCGGCGGACGGGUGAGUAACGCGUGAGCGACCAACCUUGCACAGGGGGAUAACGGACCGAAAGGUUCACUAAUACCGCAUGAGACCACGGUGUUGCAUGACACAGGGGUCAAAGGAGCAAUCCGGUGCAAGACGGGCUCGCGUCCGAUUAGGUAGUUGGAGGGGUAACGGCCCACCAAGCCUAUGAUCGGUAGCCGACCUGAGAGGGUGAUCGGCCACAUUGGAACUGAGAUACGGUCCAAACUCCUACGGGAGGCAGCAGUGGGGAAUAUUGGGCAAUGGGGGAAACUCUGACCCAGCAACGCCGCGUGAAGGAGAAGGUUUUCGGAUUGUAAACUUCUGUCCUUGGUGAAGAGAAGAAGACGGUAGCCAAGGAGGAAGCCCCGGCUAACUACGUG
RNAcentral lists this ribosomal RNA (481 nucleotides) under uncultured bacterium. RNAcentral describes it as "bacterial SSU rRNA". It matches the Rfam family "Bacterial small subunit ribosomal RNA", at positions 28 to 507 of the family's 1533-position model. The record is from RNAcentral.